GAUGAACGCUGGCGGCGUGCCUAAUACAUGCAAGUCGAGCGAACAGACGAGGAGCUUGCUCCUUUGACGUUAGCGGCGGACGGGUGAGUAACACGUAGGUAACCUACCUAUAAGACUGGGAUAACUUCGGGAAACCGGAGCUAAUACCGGAUAAUAUUUCGAACCGCAUGGUUCGAUAGUGAAAGAUGGCUUUGCUAUCACUUAUAGAUGGACCUGCGCCGUAUUAGCUAGUUGGUAAGGUAACGGCUUACCAAGGCAACGAUACGUAGCCGACCUGAGAGGGUGAUCGGCCACACUGGAACUGAGACACGGUCCAGACUCCUACGGGAGGCAGCAGUAGGGAAUCUUCCGCAAUGGGCGAAAGCCUGACGGAGCAACGCCGCGUGAGUGAUGAAGGUCUUCGGAUCGUAAAACUCUGUUAUUAGUGAAGAACAAACGUGUAAGUAACUGUGCACGUCUUGACGGUACCUAAUCAGAAAGCCACGGCUAACUACGUG
This 497-nucleotide ribosomal RNA is filed under the name uncultured bacterium. Its description in RNAcentral is "partial 16S ribosomal RNA". It matches the Rfam family "Bacterial small subunit ribosomal RNA", at positions 28 to 507 of the family's 1533-position model. The record is from RNAcentral.